UGGGGAAUAUUGGACAAUGGGGGCAACCCUGAUCCAGCAAUGCCGCGUGUGUGAAGAAGGUCUUCGGAUUGUAAAGCACUUUCGACGGGGACGAUGAUGACGGUACCCGUAGAAGAAGCCCCGGCUAACUUCGUGCCAGCAGCCGCGGUAAUACGAAGGGGGCUAGCGUUGCUCGGAAUGACUGGGCGUAAAGGGCGUGUAGGCGGUUUACACAGUCAGAUGUGAAAUCCCCGGGCUUAACCUGGGAGCUGCAUUUGAUACGUGUAGACUAGAGUGUGAGAGAGGGUUGUGGAAUUCCCAGUGUAGAGGUGAAAUUCGUAGAUAUUGGGAAGAACACCGGUGGCGAAGGCGGCAACCUGGCUCAUGACUGACGCUGAGGCGCGAAAGCGUGGGGAGCAAACAGGUUAGAUACCCUGGUAGUCCACGCUGUAAACGAUGUGUGCUAGAUGUUGGGUAACUUUGUUAUUCAGUGUCGCAGUUAACGCGUUAAGCACACCG
RNAcentral lists this ribosomal RNA (498 nucleotides) under uncultured bacterium. RNAcentral describes it as "partial 16S ribosomal RNA". It matches the Rfam family "Bacterial small subunit ribosomal RNA", at positions 355 to 871 of the family's 1533-position model. The record is from RNAcentral.